This 1662-nucleotide unclassified non-coding RNA is filed under the name Hevea brasiliensis (rubber tree). Lineage: Eukaryota; Viridiplantae; Streptophyta; Magnoliopsida; Malpighiales; Euphorbiaceae. The record is from RNAcentral.
GGUCUUCUUCUCGGAGUCAAAAAUCGCCGCAACCAAACACCAUUUAUUUUCUCUUUUCUUUCUAUUUCUUUCUCAUUUCUCUUCAUAUUAAAAUUCAUCAUUUCUUCAUCACCAUCCAACAAUCUCAUGACCUGAAUUAGAUCCGGAUCGAGGAGGGAGUGAAUAGAAGGGAAUAGCCACAUACAGACAGAGAGAAAGUGAAGAUGAGUGAGAGCCAGAGGUUCCAGCUGGGGACUCUGGGUGCUCUGAGUUUAUCAGUUGUAUCGUCGGUUUCGAUUGUGAUAUGCAACAAGGCUCUCAUUAGUACUCUCGGUUUCACUUUUGCCACAACAUUAACAAGCUGGCAUCUUCUGGUCACAUUUUGUUCUCUUCAUGUGGCAUUAUGGAUGAAAUUGUUUGAACACAAGCCUUUUGAUGCAAGAGCUGUGAUGGGAUUUGGCAUAUUAAAUGGGACAUCCAUUGGGCUUUUGAAUCUUAGUUUGGGUUUCAAUUCUGUUGGUUUCUACCAGAUGACGAAAUUGGCAAUCAUCCCAUGUACGGUUCUUUUGGAGACACUUUUCUUCAGGAAGAGAUUCAGCCGGAAUAUCCAGCUUUCACUGGCGAUCCUUCUUGUGGGUGUUGGAAUUGCAACUGUGACUGAUCUUCAACUCAAUGUCCUUGGUUCUGUCUUGUCUGUACUUGCAGUUAUUACAACUUGUAUUGCUCAGAUUAUGACCAAUACUAUCCAGAAGAAGUUCAAAGUCUCUUCCACCCAACUUUUAUAUCAGUCUUGCCCCUAUCAAGCAUUAACUUUGUUCAUUAUUGGUCCAUUUCUAGAUGGCCUACUGACUAAUCAAAAUGUUUUUGCUUUCAAGUACACCCCUCAAGUUCUGUUCUUCAUAGUUCUGUCCUGCCUGAUAUCCGUCUCUGUGAACUUCAGUACUUUUCUGGUAAUUGGGAAAACAUCACCCGUCACCUAUCAGGUCCUAGGGCAUCUGAAAACAUGCCUAGUUUUGGCCUUUGGUUAUGUUCUACUUCGUGACCCUUUUAGCUGGCGCAACAUUUUGGGGAUCCUUAUUGCAGUAAUUGGGAUGGUACUGUAUUCAUAUUAUUGCACUGUUGAGAAUCAGCAGAAGGCCAGUGAAGCGUCGACAAAAUUGCCUGAGGUCAAGGAAAGUGAAUCUGAUCCUCUGGUUGGUGUGGAAAAUGGAAGUGGAAUUUUAGCCGAUGGUGUCGUUCAAAAAGCUCCUGUAUGGAAUUCAAACAAGGAUCUUCAUGCAUAAACCUCAAAUUUUAUAAAUUCAUUCACCCUAGAUCAAUAUUAGUAGGUGAAACUUUUUCAGCGAUGAAGAUGUUGCUGGCAAGGGUCUUCAUAUAUCGCAGUUGGGGUAUUCUGAGAUCAUUUCCUCUAUUAUAUUAGACUGAGUUGAAGGAAAUUGUCCUUUUAUAUAGCAUUUUUGGUUUUUAGUUUUGCAUGAAUCAGAAAUGGCAAUGGGAUGAUACCGGAAUUUGACUUGUUAAAUGUAUACUUUUGUUCCCCAAUACUAGAAAAAAAAGAAUUCCAUUAAUGUUCUUUCUGUUUGUAUUCCUACCAAUCUGUGAAGAAUGAAGGCUUCUUGCCCUUGACUACAUUCUGUUUUGAUGUCUCUCAUAAAUGCGCAGUACAUUGAUUUUAAUUUUCUU